RNAcentral lists this unclassified non-coding RNA (219 nucleotides) under uncultured Agaricomycetes. RNAcentral's name for it is "sequence contains ITS2". Lineage: Eukaryota; Fungi; Basidiomycota; Agaricomycetes. The record is from RNAcentral.
GAACUCUCAAAGUCACCUUCCUUUGAUAGGGUUGGUGUGCUUUGGCUCGUGGGCGCUUGUGGGCCUGGCUCGCUCGUCUGAAAUCAAAUGUGGUGGUUUUCUCUAAAGCCUGUGUCGGGUUUGACCUGGAGUGAUAGAAGUCUUUCGAGAUCUCUGGGGACCGCCUUUUUGGCGACCUGCCGAGGUGGGAGAGAUUGCCUACUAAGGCUCAUCUGACGU